GCUCCUGUGGCCUAGUGGUUAGAGCGUCCGCCUCGGAUGCAGGAGGUCAUGGGUUCAAUCCUCGGCCGAGUCA
Molecule: non-coding RNA, 73 nt
Organism: Potamilus streckersoni
Lineage: Eukaryota; Metazoa; Mollusca; Bivalvia; Unionida; Unionidae
Source: the annotation of a GenBank genome assembly